RNAcentral lists this ribosomal RNA (472 nucleotides) under uncultured bacterium. RNAcentral describes it as "SSU rRNA". It matches the Rfam family "Bacterial small subunit ribosomal RNA", at positions 26 to 518 of the family's 1533-position model. The record is from RNAcentral.
AGGAUGAACGCUGGCGGCGUGCCUAACACAUGCAAGUCGAACGUCCUGUCUCGCAAGAGGCAGGGAGUGGCGGACGGGUGAGUACCACGUGGGUCAUCUACCGUGAGGUGAGGAAUACCGGCGAGAAAUCGCCGACAAGACCGCAUAGGCUCGAUGCAAGUCGAGCAAAGCUCUUUCGAGAGAGGGAGCGCCACACGAGGAGCCUGCGCCCGAUUAGCUAGCUGGUGGAGUAACGGUUCACCAGGGCGACGAUCGGUAGCUGGUCUGAGAGGACGAUCAGCCACACUGGGAUUGAGAACGGCCCAGACUCCUACGGGGGGCAGCAGUGAGGAAUUUUCGCAAUGGGGGCAACCCUGAACGAGCAACGCCGCGUGCAGGAAGAGGUUUUCGGAUCGUAAACUGCUUUUCUCGGGGAAGAGAACGGACGGUACCCGAGGAAUCGAGCCCCGGCUAACUACGUGCCAGCAGCCGC